CAGCAGCCGCGGUAAUACGGAGGGAGCUAGCGUUGUUCGGAAUUACUGGGCGUAAAGCGUGCGUAGGCGGUUACUCAAGUCAGAGGUGAAAGCCCGGGGCUCAACCCCGGAACUGCCUUUGAAACUAGGUGACUAGAAUCUUGGAGAGGUCAGUGGAAUUCCGAGUGUAGAGGUGAAAUUCGUAGAUAUUCGGAAGAACACCAGUGGCGAAGGCGACUGACUGGACAAGUAUUGACGCUGAGGUGCGAAAGCGUGGGGAGCAAACAGGAUUAGAUACCCCUGUAGUCCCUGUCUCUUAUAC
This 301-nucleotide ribosomal RNA is filed under the name uncultured bacterium. RNAcentral's name for it is "partial 16S ribosomal RNA". It matches the Rfam family "Bacterial small subunit ribosomal RNA", at positions 509 to 807 of the family's 1533-position model. The record is from RNAcentral.